Molecule: ribosomal RNA, 245 nt
Filed under: uncultured bacterium
Lineage: Bacteria
Description: partial 16S ribosomal RNA
Rfam family: Bacterial small subunit ribosomal RNA
Source: RNAcentral
UACGGAGGGGGCUAGCGUUGUCCGAAGUACUGGGCGUAAAGCGCGCGUAGGCGGGUUGGUAAGUCCGCUGUGAAAGCCCGGAGCUCAACUCCGGAGGGUCGGUGGAUACUGCCAGUCUUGAAGGUGCUAGGGGGAGAUGGAAUUACCGGUGUAGCGGUGAAAUGCGUAGAUAUCGGUAGGAACACCAGUGGCGAAGGCGGUCUCCUGGGGCAUUCUUGACGCUGAGGCGCGAAAGCUGGGGGAGC